This 403-nucleotide ribosomal RNA is filed under the name uncultured bacterium. Its description in RNAcentral is "partial 16S ribosomal RNA". It matches the Rfam family "Bacterial small subunit ribosomal RNA", at positions 28 to 526 of the family's 1533-position model. The record is from RNAcentral.
GACGAACGCUGGCGGCGUGCCUAAUACAUGCAAGUCGAACGCAGUGGGGACGGUUGCUUGACACGUGGGUAACCUCCCAUCAGAGGGGAUAACACUUGGAAACAGGUGCUAAACCGAUACUGAUGUAUGGACCCGAGGUGCAUUAGCUAGUUGGUGGGGUAGCGGCUCACCAAGGCCACGAUGCAUAGCUGACCGGAGAGGAUGAUCGGCCACACUGGAACUGAGACACGGCCCAGACGCCUACGGGAGGCAGCAGUAGGGAAUCUUCGGCAAUGGACGAAAGUCUGACGGAGCAAUGCCGCGUGGGUGAAGAAGGUUUUCGGAUCGUAAAACUCUGUUGUUAGGGAAGCGGUAUCUAACCAGAAAGCAACGGCUAACUACGUGCCAGCAGCCGCGGUAAUUC